GAGUGCUUGCACUCACUUGAAAAGAGGAGUGGCGGACGGGUGAGUAACACGUGGGUAACCUACCCAUCAGAGGGGGAUAACACUUGGAAACAGGUGCUAAUACCGCAUAAUAGUCGACACCGCAUGGUGUUGAUUUGAAAGACGCUUUCGGGUGUCACUGAUGGAUGGACCCGCGGUGCAUUAGCUAGUUGGUGAGGUAACGGCUCACCAAGGCCAUGAUGCAUAGCCGACCUGAGAGGGUGAUCGGCCACACUGGGACUGAGACACGGCCCAGACUCCUACGGGAGGCAGCAGUAGGGAAUCUUCGGCAAUGGACGAAAGUCUGACCGAGCAACGCCGCGUGAGUGAAGAAGGUUUUCGGAUCGUAAAACUCUGUUGUUAGAGAAGAACAAGUAGGAGAGUAACUGCUCUUACCUUGACGGUAUCUAACCAGAAAGCCACGGCUAACUACGUGCCAGCAGCCGCGGUAAUACGUAGGUGGCAAGCGUUGUCCGGAUUUAUUGGGCGUAAAGCGAGCGCAGGCGGUUUCUUAAGUCUGAUGUGAAAGCCCCCGGCUCAACCGGGGAGGGUCAUUGGAAACUGGGAGACUUGAGUGCAGAAGAGGAGAGUGGAAUUCCAUGUGUAGCGGUGAAAUGCGUAGAUAUAUGGAGGAACACCAGUGGCGAAGGCGACUCUCUGGUCUGUAACUGACGCUGAGGCUCGAAAGCGU
This 709-nucleotide ribosomal RNA is filed under the name Enterococcus sp. RNAcentral's name for it is "bacterial SSU rRNA". It matches the Rfam family "Bacterial small subunit ribosomal RNA", at positions 74 to 762 of the family's 1533-position model. The record is from RNAcentral. Lineage: Bacteria; Bacillati; Bacillota; Bacilli; Lactobacillales; Enterococcaceae.